Molecule: long non-coding RNA, 346 nt
Organism: Octopus bimaculoides (California two-spot octopus)
Lineage: Eukaryota; Metazoa; Mollusca; Cephalopoda; Octopoda; Octopodidae
Source: RefSeq, a predicted model, not a curated record
UUACACCACUUGUCACCCGAGAAGAGUCUUAGAGUUAAAAGAUGAGAACAUCUUACCGUCUGGUAUUGAUGAAUUACGUUACGGACAUCCGGGUAUUUUUACACUCGAGGGAUGCGCACAGUUUUCCAGAGAGAGCACUUUCCGAGGCACCUACAAAACGCCCAAUGUACCGAACUUUAGGGAGCAAGGUGUGAGAAGAGAACUGCUUGAAAAAAUGAUGUCAAAGGAAGCGCAUGCAAAAAUAAUGGAUGGCAUCAACCCUAAAGCUUAUCAGGCAGAUUAUAAAUCAAUGACAGAAGAAUCUUACCAUCGAGAUUUUGUUUGCGAAGCACCAAAACCUACCAAG